GUGAAUCAUCGAAUCUUUGAACGCAAAUUGCACUCACUUGGGAGAGUAUGCGUGUUUGCGGGUCAGCCUAAAAAAAGUCGACAUAGUUGCGGUUACGCGGUAGCAUUCGUCGGAAAUUGGGUCAUGAUAAACGUUUGGGUAUAAGCGGGAUAAAAUUUUCUUGACGAUUAGAAGAACGUAUCUAAGAGUGUAUUUUCUGAUACGUAUAAGGUAUCGAUCUUUAUGAGACGUGGGCGGUGCAUCGGAU
RNAcentral lists this unclassified non-coding RNA (247 nucleotides) under Glomus sp. Its description in RNAcentral is "partial contains 5.8S ribosomal RNA and internal transcribed spacer 2". Lineage: Eukaryota; Fungi; Glomeromycota; Glomeromycetes; Glomerales; Glomeraceae. The record is from RNAcentral.